UACGGAGGGUGCGAGCGUUAUCCGGAAUCACUGGGCAUAAAGCGCACGUAGGCGGCUAGGUCCGUCCGAUGUGAAAGCCCCCGGCUCAACCGGGGAAUUGCAUCGGAUACAGCCUGGCUUGAGGACGGUUGGGGUGAGUGGAACUCCUGGUGGAGCGGUGAAAUGCGUAGAUAUCAGGAGGAACACCGGUGGCGAAAGCGGCUCACUGGACCGUUUCUGACGCUGAGGUGCGAAAGCUAGGGGAGCAAACGGG
Molecule: ribosomal RNA, 253 nt
Filed under: uncultured bacterium
Lineage: Bacteria
Description: partial 16S ribosomal RNA
Rfam family: Bacterial small subunit ribosomal RNA
Source: RNAcentral